Drosophila ficusphila is the source of this 462-nucleotide long non-coding RNA. RefSeq lists it as uncharacterized. NCBI's taxonomy places the organism in Eukaryota, Metazoa, Arthropoda, Insecta, Diptera, Drosophilidae. The transcript has 2 exons. The record is from RefSeq and is a predicted model, not a curated record.
CAUUAACGCUUCGAAUAUAAACUGAAUAUGAAGUUUUUAGUUAUCGUCUUUAUAUUGGUUCUCUUCUGUUAUUGUCUCGGAUUGCAGAAAAGUCAGAAAUGCUUGGAGCCUAUGGUUAAAGGACCCUGUGUUGGUCGUGUUGACAGAUACUUUUACGAUUACCGUACCAAUAAAUGUGUCCGCUUUUCUUACAGUGGAUGUGGCAACAACGCCAACAAUUUUAAAGAAUAUAAAGAUUGCGCGAGUGCAUGUAAAAAGACGUAUGCUAGAACUACUAAAAAACGAUAAAAACGAACAAUUUAAGCUGUUAGAAGAUUGUGAUUUAUCUUCUUAUGAUGUAACGAAAAACCAAAAGUGUACAAAAAAGUGGGCAUGCUUUUUUUGCUUAGCUAGUUUCGGUUACCUUUAGUUUUACGAUUGUAGAAUACUACUUUUUUGGAAUGCACUUUGAGAAUAACCUAA